ACAGAAUGACUGGAAGAAGCGUAGUAGGCGGUCAAGCAAGUCAGAUAUCACGCGCGGGACUAACUCGGCUGCUCAUUUGAUCCGCGUGCUUGCGAGCAGGAGAUGAAAGCGGAAUGCUUCGUGUAGCGGUGAAAUGCGUAGAUAUUAGGAGGAGCACCAGUGCCGCAGGCGGCUUUCGGACUGUAACUGACACUGAGGCACGAAAGCGUGGGGAGCAAACAGGAUUAGAUACCCUGGUAGUCCACGCUGUAAACGAUGGAUACUAGGUGUGGGGGAGAUACAACAUCCGUGCCGCAGCAAACGCAAUAAGUAUCCCGCCUGGGGAGUACGGCCGCAAGGGUGUAACUCAAAGGAAUUGACGGGGACUCGCACAAGCAGCGGAGCAUGUGGUUUAAUUUGAAGCAACGCGAAGAACCUUAUCAAGGCUUGACAUCCCUUGACCGCUAUGGAAACAUAGCUUCCCUUCGGGGCAAGGAGACAGCUGGUGCAUGGUUGUCGUCAGCUCGUGUCGUGAGAUGUUGGGUUAAGUCCCGCAACGAGCGCAACCCUUAUCAUUAGUUGCCAGCGCGUAAAGGCGGGAACUCUAAUGAGACUGCCGGGGAUAACUCGGAGGAAGGUGGGGACGACGUCAAAUCAUCAUGCCCCUUAUGUCUUGGGCUACACACGUGCUACAAUGGCCGGUACAGAGGGCUGCGAAGCCGCAAGGUGGAGCGAAUCCCAAAAAGCCGGUCCCAGUUCGGAUUGUGGGCUGCAACCCGCCCACAUGAAGCCGGAGUUGCUAGUAAUCGCGAAUCAGC
This 797-nucleotide ribosomal RNA is filed under the name uncultured bacterium. RNAcentral describes it as "bacterial SSU rRNA". It matches the Rfam family "Bacterial small subunit ribosomal RNA", at positions 545 to 1353 of the family's 1533-position model. The record is from RNAcentral.